RNAcentral lists this ribosomal RNA (253 nucleotides) under uncultured bacterium. RNAcentral's name for it is "partial 16S ribosomal RNA". It matches the Rfam family "Bacterial small subunit ribosomal RNA", at positions 524 to 776 of the family's 1533-position model. The record is from RNAcentral.
UACAGAGGUGGCAAGCGUUGUUCGGAAUUACUGGGCGUAAAGGGCGCGUAGGCGGCCUUCUAAGUCAGACGUGAAAUCCCCCGGCUUAACCUGGGAACUGCGUCUGAUACUGGGAGGCUUGAGUAUGGGAGAGGGAUGUAGAAUUCCAGGUGUAGCGGUGAAAUGCGUAGAUAUCUGGAGGAAUACCGGUGGCGAAGGCGGCAUCCUGGACCAUUACUGACGCUGAGGCGCGAAAGCUAGGGGAGCAAAUGGG